Molecule: unclassified non-coding RNA, 250 nt
Filed under: Hevea brasiliensis (rubber tree)
Lineage: Eukaryota; Viridiplantae; Streptophyta; Magnoliopsida; Malpighiales; Euphorbiaceae
Source: RNAcentral
GUCAAGUCUGUAUUUGCAGAGGAUGUCAAGAUAUGAGCAGAUGCACAAAUCCAAGUAACUAUUUCGACUGCCAACUGUAUUGCAUGUACGGCCCAAGAGGGUACAGAUACAGUUGCAAGUGUCCUCCUGGACAUUCCCUAGGUUACGGUAGAUGCUACCCAGAUGACUUUUUUGAAGGAAAAUCUCGGACCAAGAAGAUUAUCAUGAUAGCUUGUGGUUCAGGUCUUGGAUUGUUGUUAUUAAUUAUUGG